GAUCCUGGCUCAGAACGAACGCUGGCGGCAGGCUUAACACAUGCAAGUCGAACGCACCGCAAGGUGAGUGGCAGACGGGUGAGUAACGCGUGGGAACCUUCCCUUUGGUACGGAAUAACUUCGGGAAACCGAAGCUAAUACCGUAUAAGUCCUUCGGGAGAAAGAUUUAUCGCCAAAGGAUGGGCCCGCGUUGGAUUAGCUAGUUGGUAGGGUAAAAGCCUACCAAGGCGACGAUCCAUAGCUGGUCUGAGAGGAUGAUCAGCCACACUGGGACUGAGACACGGCCCAGACUCCUACGGGAGGCAGCAGUGGGGAAUAUUGGACAAUGGGCGCAAGCCUGAUCCCAGCCAUGCCGCGUGAGUGAAGAAGGCCUUAGGGUUGUAAAGCUCUUUUGGCGGGGACGAUAAUGACGGUACCCGCAGAAUAAGCCCCGGCUAACUUCGUGCCAGCAGCUGC
Molecule: ribosomal RNA, 456 nt
Filed under: uncultured bacterium
Lineage: Bacteria
Description: bacterial SSU rRNA
Rfam family: Bacterial small subunit ribosomal RNA
Source: RNAcentral